Spinacia oleracea (spinach) is the source of this 72-nucleotide non-coding RNA. Lineage: Eukaryota; Viridiplantae; Streptophyta; Magnoliopsida; Caryophyllales; Amaranthaceae. The record is from Rfam.
UGGGGCGUGGCCAAGUGGUAAGGCGUCGGGUUUUGAUCCCGCUAUUCGGAGGUUCGAAUCCUUCCGUCCCAG